This is a non-coding RNA of Stachybotrys chartarum IBT 40288, 72 nucleotides long. Lineage: Eukaryota; Fungi; Ascomycota; Sordariomycetes; Hypocreales; Stachybotryaceae. The record is from Rfam.
CAGAUUAUGGCCGAAUGGUAAGGUGCCCUGUUUGGGACAGGGACUAUAUGAGUUCGAAUCUUAUUGAUCUGA